GCGACGGGAGGGGGGAGGGGGAAGUUGGGUGAGGAAAGGAAGUUGAUGAGCAGCAUUAAAAAGUAAAGAGUGAGUAAAACCUACCAGCUAACCAACCAACACAGAGGAGUCACGAAGAAGAAGCAGCCGGAAGUGUGUGUUUUCCAGCUGUCUCGGUCAGGUGGUCUGACGGGCAGAGUGAGAGACACCCCCUGGAGGUCAUUCCCAUGGUUCUACCUGGAACCCGGAACCUGGAACCCGGAGUCGAGUCAUCGAAUGUUCCACCUGGUGGCUGCCAGUCAAGCCGGCAGAAGACGGAGGGCAGAAAUGAACGCAGACGAGAGGAAGGAUGGGUGAAGAUUGGCAGGCUCGCGGAAGGCCACAAAAGCCGGCGGACUCGAUGCCUUGAGAUCAGACAAUCAGACCUGAUGGCUUUGGGAGGCUCAGUCAGCUUAGGGCUCGGAAAAUGAUGGGAGGAUGAUGAGGAGGGUUAGAGAAUCUCAGCGAGGAAUAGAAGUGGAAGGAGGAGAAGGAAAAGAAAAAUGGUAUUAGAGUAAGUAAUACAGCACAAAAGGACAAAGGAUUUCGGCGAUGGAGAUUGCAGAAACCACUGGCGGAGGAAGUGGGGCGAUGUAUUUUUUUCUGCUGAGGGCUAUGUGUGGGUUCGGAGUGGAUCGGGUGUUGUUUAAUGUCACCAAACAGACCCCGAGCACCGAGCCCCUCCCUGGGUGUAAACAGCCGAGUCUAAAGGUGAAGGGCGGCGGGGACGGAUGGACAGAUGGCUGGACGGAACGAUGGAAUUUUCUUCUCUUAAGAAAGCCGUCAGCGUUGGGUUUAUGUGUCCUUCACCCCGAUCCUGCAGGAAUAGCAUUAAAACACCACCUCCCCUCCUCUCCCCCCUCCCUUGCUUCUCCCCCCUUUUUCUCCCUCUCUGUCUCUCCUUCUUCUCCACCCCCUCUCUCAUUAAAACUGUGCGCCUCGGCUUCUAAUUAAAUCCCACUUGAAAGUCUUAAAAGUCAGACUCAGAUUGAUUCAAUUUGCAUUUCUGAACAGGGAACAUUGCCUAAAAGGAUUAAUAAAUUGGUUGAAAAUG
This is a long non-coding RNA of Seriola aureovittata, 1072 nucleotides long. RefSeq lists it as uncharacterized. The transcript is spliced from 4 exons. Lineage: Eukaryota; Metazoa; Chordata; Actinopteri; Carangiformes; Carangidae. The record is from RefSeq and is a predicted model, not a curated record.